GACGAACGCUGGCGGCGUGCUUAACACAUGCAAGUCGAACGGAAAGGCCCUGCUUGCAGGGUACUCGAGUGGCGAACGGGUGAGUAACACGUGGGUGAUCUGCCCUGCACUUCGGGAUAAGCCUGGGAAACUGGGUCUAAUACCGGAUAUGACCUUCCAUGUAGUGUGGGGGGUGGAAAGAUUUAUCGGUGUGGGAUGAGCCCGCGGCCUAUCAGCUUGUUGGUGGGGUAAUGGCCUACCAAGGCGUCGACGGGUAGCCGGCCUGAGAGGGUGGACGGCCACAUUGGGACUGAGAUACGACCCAGACUCCUACGGGAGGCAGCAGUGGGGAAUAUUGCACAAUGGGCGGAAGCCUUAUGCAGCGACGCCGCGUGGGGGAUGACGGCCUUCGGGUUGUAAACCUCUUUCGACAGGGACGAAGCUUCGGUGACGGUACCUGUAGAAGAAGCACCGGCUAACUACGUG
This 465-nucleotide ribosomal RNA is filed under the name uncultured bacterium. RNAcentral's name for it is "partial 16S ribosomal RNA". It matches the Rfam family "Bacterial small subunit ribosomal RNA", at positions 28 to 507 of the family's 1533-position model. The record is from RNAcentral.